Molecule: ribosomal RNA, 490 nt
Filed under: uncultured bacterium
Lineage: Bacteria
Description: partial 16S ribosomal RNA
Rfam family: Bacterial small subunit ribosomal RNA
Source: RNAcentral
AUUGAACGCUGGCGGCAGGCCUAACACAUGCAAGUCGAGCGGUAACAGGAAGACGCUUGCUUCUUUGCUGACGAGUGGCGGACGGGUGAGUAAUGUCUGGGAAACUGCCUGAUGGAGGGGGAUAACUACUGGAAACGGUAGCUAAUACCGCAUAACGUCGCAAGACCAAAGAGGGGGACCUUCGGGCCUCUUGCCAUCGGAUGUGCCCAGAUGGGAUUAGCUAGUAGGUGGGGUAACGGCUCACCUAGGCGACGAUCCCUAGCUGGUCUGAGAGGAUGACCAGCCACACUGGAACUGAGACACGGUCCAGACCCCUACGGGAGGUAGCAGUGGGGAAUAUUGCACAAUGGGCGCAAGCCUGAUGCAGCCAUGCCGCGUGUAUGAAGAAGGCCUUCGGGUUGUAAAGUACUUUCAGCGGGGAGGAAGGGAGUAAAGUUAAUACCUUUGCUCAUUGACGUUACCCGCAGAAGAAGCACCGGCUAACUCCGUG